GACGAACGCUGGCGGCGUGCUUAACACAUGCAAGUCGAACGGAAAGGCCCUGCUUUUGUGGGGUGCUCGAGUGGCGAACGGGUGAGUAACACGUGAGUAACCUGCCCUUGACUUUGGGAUAACUUCAGGAAACUGGGGCUAAUACCGGUUAGGAGCUCCUGCUGAAUGGUGGGGUUUGGAAAGUUCCGGCGGUUGGGGAUGGACGCGCGGCUUAUCAGCUUGUUGGUGGGGUAGUGGCUUACCAAGGCUUUGACGGGUAGCCGGCCUGAGAGGGUGACCGGCCACAUUGGGACUGAGAUACGGCCCAGACUCCUACGGGAGGCAGCAGUGGGGAAUAUUGCACAAUGGGCGGAAGCCUGAUGCAGCAACGCCGCGUGCGGGAUGACGGCCUUCGGGUUGUAAGCCGCUUUCGCCUGUGACGAAGCGUGAGUGACGGUAAUGGGUAAAGAAGCACCGGCUAACUACGUG
Molecule: ribosomal RNA, 468 nt
Filed under: uncultured bacterium
Lineage: Bacteria
Description: partial 16S ribosomal RNA
Rfam family: Bacterial small subunit ribosomal RNA
Source: RNAcentral